Maylandia zebra (zebra mbuna) is the source of this 854-nucleotide long non-coding RNA. RefSeq lists it as uncharacterized. NCBI's taxonomy places the organism in Eukaryota, Metazoa, Chordata, Actinopteri, Cichliformes, Cichlidae. The record is from RefSeq and is a predicted model, not a curated record.
UCUGCAUAACAAUGAAAUGAGAUGUCAUGUUUUAACAAGGCUCCAAAAGCUUCUACAGGUGAACCCACGGAGGGUUAAUCCAGCUGUCCUUCAGCCCAGCCUGACAUCCUGCAGCGGCUGCGCAAGCCCCCCAUCGGGGUUUAACUUUGUACCUCCCAACCCAUGAGUUGUGUAUCGCUCCACCUGCAUGGCUUUUUAAAUUUAUUGGUCGGCUUUGGCACCGAUGCCUCGAAUCUCAGAACCGGAUGCCAAGAAAUAAUGCUGCUAAAUAAAAGACGCAUAAAGAGGCUGGAGGGGUGGCAGCUGUGUGAGAAGACCUCGGUUCAUGUCCUGUUUGGGGUGUCUUUGUGGUUAAGGGUAGCUGGAGUGGUUUCAGGUGUGCAAUCAUCCAACGGCCUACAGCGGCUCACGCACCGCUUCAGCCACACUUCAGUGAAGCGCUUGUUGAUGAGCUCUUUGCUCUUCUUGCUUACCGAAGGUGUUUCUGUCACCUUUAUUAAUAUUAUUCCACUCGUCUCCUGUCAGCUCGGUAUUAUCUCUGGCUCCUGUUAUUAUAUUUCACUUCUCUGGUGUUUUAUAUUUUUUAAAUAUUGAUUCUUGGAUUGUUUUUUAGGUCGUGUUUAUUUUACAGAUGAGAUCCUGGCUUCUGUUUCAUUUCCCACCUUUGUGUUCACCUUUCCUUGUAUCCCUCCUCCUCUGUGCUAAAGUCUGUAAUCACACAGGGUGUGUCGGACCUUCUUCUUCUGUUGUCUCUGUACUAAAGCCUGUGUUUACCCGUCCUCCUCUGUCGGUACUGCUGAGAAUGUAAAAGUGUGAAGGUGAGGAGAAAGUAAAAAUGGGCGUGUCUUUAUACG